AGUACAUAAACGCCUACGUCAGAAUCUGGAGUCAGCUGGAGUGUGCCAGCAGGUAAGGGAGAGCUGGGGCGCUCACUUGAGUGCUGGGAGCCAAAGAAGUAAUAACUACCUUUGGUUGGGUGUGGUGGUACACAAAGCACAAGGCCUGGGUGGGGGUUAGGAGGAAAUGAGGCAGGGUUGGCCUCAGACACCAAGGCCUAUCCUAGGGAAAUGGGGAUGGAGAGGCGCCAUGGUCUGACAACUGUCUUGAGUGGUGAAACUGUGGGGACUUGGUAACUGAGUGAAUGGGGAAGAGGGAGCGCUGGGCUAGUGUUGGUUCCGAGUUUCCUGGAUGUGGUGUCAUUUUCUGAGAGGGGGAGAGUAGGAGAAGGGUGAGCAGUGAUAAGUGUAGUUCUAAGGAAUUGGGGCGGCCACAGGCAGUGGGCAGCUUAUCGCGGGGAUCUGACGCACAGGAAGUGGCACAUGGAGAAGUCACAGGGCAGUGAGAUUUUCAGGGGAAGGGUGGGGGUGGAAGGAGCUGUGAGUGAAAUCCUGUGGCACAGGACUGGGAGUGAGGAGGGGUGAGAGAUAGAAGAAGCCUCCUAGGCUUUCUAGUCUUUCCCUCAAACCCCCUCAGACCUCUGAGCUAUGAAGGAGGGUGGGUUACCCUACCACAAGGGCAGAGGCCUACUCAGGGCCUGAUGCUGAGAUGCAGGAUCCCUCACUCCAGGCCAGGCCUUCCCCACCGUGCAGAGCGCCCCUACACCAGGUGUCGAUAUUGAUUAUGCAAUAGAAAGCAGGAGGCAGCUCCUUGAGGGGGGCUGGGCAUAAACUCACAGCCUGUAAGUGACGGCAUAUGGUGGGAAAGAGUCCGGACCCACCCAGAAACAGGUUUGUGCCCUUAACAAGUCACUUAACUCUCUCAGAUCCCAGCAGCUCAUCUGUUAAGUGGAGAUGAUACCAACCUAUUAGGGAUGUUGAGAUAUGUAAAGCACUUAGAACAGUGCAAGGCAGAAAAUAAAUGUAUCCAUUCUUGGAGUCGAGGGUUGGGACACGCUGCUGUGUGUUAUGUUAAAGACCCAGGAGUUGGAACUGAGCCACACUCAUCAAGGCCCCAGUGUUUCAAGCAGGGAUGAAAACUGUUAGGCAUCAUUUUUCCUAGCUUAGUCUUCUGAGUUGCAGGGUGGAGAUGCCAAAUACUAACAUCAGAUGGGCAGAUCAAGGUGAUAAAGCUGUAGGUGUGACACAAUCCAUGUUGGCCUGCUAUCAUUCUGGGGACUUGGAAAUGGCCCUGGCUUCAUGUUACACUCACCUUGCUCUAAAAGCGGAUAGCAACUGCCAAUUUCCGGGUUCCAGCCAGAGCAACUGAAUCAGAAUCUGUGGAGGUAAUACAGGGACAUGUGGCUUUUCAAAGAUGUUUCAGGUAACUAAUAGCCAAGGUGGAGAAGAGGUGAUCUACCCCUCUCCCCAGCAUUUCAAAGGUAACCUUCUCUCCUAGAUUAGCUACUUUUAAGGAUUUAGGGUUAAACAUGCCCUUUCCAGAUCUUCAGGCUGUUCUUUCUUUCCUGGUUGCUUGAAGAGACUUUUAAAGAUGGACUCAACUAUUUAUAAGGCAACAUGAAAAUCUAUAAAAGCCAAGGCAACAGCUAUACAGGAAUUAAUGCUUUGGAGACCAGAGCUUUUUCUGGAUGAAGAAAAUGGAAGCCCAUAAGAACCCCCAACUUUGCCAUCCCUUUCAAAUCCCUCUCUGCUUCUGCCUCACCUCCCCACCUCCGCCAACCAUCCCCCAUUCACUAUCCUGAGGCAGAAUGCCCAGGACUCAAGGCUGGAGGUAGAGGGCUGAGCAGUGUACCUAAAAAGCUGCUUCAAGUUCAUGGCGGUACGUGGAAUCAAAAAUAGCUCUGUGGUCAGUCUGGGAGGAUGCUAAGGAACCAAUUCAUUUUUAAAAUAAUGAGGAAAAGAAUUAAACAUUUAUCAUGCUUUUAAAUUUUAUUUAUUUAUUUAUUUAUUUGAGAUGGAGUCUUGCUCUGUCACCCAGGCUGGAGUGCAGUGGCGCAAUCUCGGCUCACUGCAACCUCUGCCUCCCAGCUUCAAGUGAUUCUCAUGCCUCAGCCUCCCUGAGUAGCUGGGCUUACAGGUGCCCACCAUCACGCCCAGCUAAUUUUUGUAUUUUGAGUAGAGACAGGGUUUCGCUAUGUUGGCCAGGUUGGUUUUGAACUCCUGACCUCAUGUGAUCUGUCCACCUUGGCCUCCCAAAGUGCUGGGAUUACAGGUGUGAGCCACAGCGCCCAGCCCAUCCUGCCUUUUUUAUAUGGGCUCUUCCUCAGGGCUACUAAAUAGUUGAUGAGAGGAAAUUUUAUAAGUAUUCUAGCUAAUCAAAGAAGAAGGAGCCAAUCAAAAUUUUACAAUUUUUUUUAAACUUUAAAGAAUUAAUGGAUCCUAGGGAAUGAUCAUCAAUGUUUGCUAAAAUCAUGAAAAGGCAACCAGUUACUGUGCACUUCAUGAUGGAAGAAGACAUCACCUCCUAUUAAUUUUUCUUGCACAAAAUUGAAGUUGAAUCUCAACCUAAAUACCAGUUAUAAGAAAUAUAAAGGUGCCCCUUUUUAAAAUAUCAGGAAGAGACUAGAAUGAUCCAUGUAAUAGUGGAUUCGAGUUGGAGACAUCAGUAUUAACUCAUGUUUAACUUAAUAUAGCUACAUAUGUUUAUAUAGGGAAAUAUUUGUAGAUAUGUACACACCUCUUUUAUAAAGUCACUAAUCUAAUUUGUGAGGCCCCUGCCCUCAUGACCUAAUCACCUCCCAAAGGCCCUACUUCCAAAUGCCAAUAAAUUGGGAGUUAGGAUUUCAACAUAUGAAUUUAGGGGGAACAAAAAUAUUCAGUUGAUAGCAAUCAUGAAAUACAAUGAAAGUCUGAGAAACUCUCACAACAAAGACUAGCCUAAGGACACAUGACAUGACUAACUGGAUUAGAUAAAUCUGAAUAAGGUAUAGACUUUGUCUAAUGAUAAUGUAUCAAAAUUGGUUCAUUAUUGCAAGAAAUGUACCAUAAUAAUGUAAGAUGUUAAUUACAGAGUAAAUUAGGUGGAGUAAUGGGAACUCUAGGUACUAUCUCCACGCUUUUCCUGUAAAUAUAAAAAACUUUAAAAAAUAUAUAGAGGAGGUCUCAGUAUAUUGCCCAAGCUGGUCUCCAACUCCUGACCUCGAGCUAUCUUCCCACCUGCACUUCCUAAAAUAUUAGGAUUACAGGCGUGAGCCACUGCACCUGGCCUGCAAAUGUAAAACUUUUUUAAAAGUUUGUUUUUAAAACACAUGAGGAUGCAAUCAGUAAAUCCUAGACUGAAAGUUUACAAGAAAAAUGACCUGGUUUCAGUAGUAAAUGAAUUACAAGGGAAAAAGAAAUAUGGUGGUAGACUCUAUACAUUAAAAGAGAUUGAGGAGACAUAUCAAUUGAAGCACCUGGGCUUUAUUCUAAUUUGAACAAACAAAUUCAAAUAGUGAGGGACAGGAGAAUACUGAUUGGAUAUUUUAUAUACAGGAAUUAUGGAUAAUUGAGAUGUGAUAGUAUUGUGGCUAUGUUUCUUAAAAGAGUUAUCUUUUAGAGAUACAUAUAUUUAAAUAAAGUUUUGCAUUGUACAAAACUCUUUCAAUGAGAGGAUCCCCUUUGGUUCAGGAGAGGGAGAGAGGUAAGAGUGUAGUCUCACUUUUUAGGCAGGAAGAAACUGACAGCAAACAUCUGCCAUCUGACAGUUAUUUUUAAACCAUUCCACUUAAUCCUCAUGAAAUUUUCCAGGUGCUUUGAAUGCAGAGCCAAGGUUGAGAACUACUAAUUUAGAAGACUAUACCAUGGUGGGAGUGGGGAGGAGAUGCUACCAGCAGAGAGCUAUCAGCUAGAGGCUGUAAUUUUACCCAAUUACUUCCUGAAAGUGCUAGAUGCUGUUGCUUAUUAUUAUUAAGCAUUCACAUAACCUAAAAUCCCAUUCAGGAGCCUUAAAGGAGGUGCAUUUUCUAGAAGCUAACACUGUUUUUGGUUAUUUGCAGGUAUAGCAUCAAAACUAUCCACUGCUCUGUUAUCCGGAGUUCAUUAAGUAGAUCCAUUUCACACUAUCAGGACAGAAUUUUUCAGACACCUGAAGCUCUGUGCCUAGACCUUAUUUAUUUAUUUAUUUAUUUAUUUAUUUAUUUAUUUAUUUAUAUUUUGAGACUGAGUCUCACUCUGUCACUCAGGCUGGAGUGCAUGGUGUGAUGCACUCCAUCUCCCAGGUUCAAGCAAUUCUCCAUCUCCCAGGUUCAAGCAAUUCUCCAUCUCCUAGGUUCAAGCAAUUCUCCAUCUCCCAGGUUCAAGCAAUUCUCCAUCUCCCAGGUUCAAGCAAUUCUCCUGCCUUGCCCUCCCCAGUAGCCGGAAUUUCAGGCGCCUGCUGCCAUGCCUGGCUAGUUUUUGUAUUUUAGUAGAGAUGGAGUUUCACCAUGUUGGCCAGGUUGGUUUCGAACACCUGACCUCGUGAUCCACCCACCUCGGCCUCCCAAAGUGCUGGAAUUACAGGCGUGAGCCACUGAGCCUGGCCACCUAGACCUGUUUAAUUGAAUACCCCACAAGCACCCCAAACUCAAAACACCCAGGAAUGAACUCAGUAUUUUUCCAGCCGCCCAAUCUGCAUGUCUUCCUGUAUCACCAGCUCUGUGAAUGACCUGUCUCCUGCCCAGUCACCUGUGCUGUAAAACUACCAGUCCUCACAGACCACUCCAUCACUCCUCUACCCAUCCAGUCAGUCCUCAGUUCUCUCUCAUGAUCUCCCCUCAGGAUGUCUUGACUUCAUCAGAUGCAAGUCAGGCCUUCAUCUUUUCUCACCUGGACAAACCUCCUGCCUUUCUGUCCUGCUUCCAGUCUCACCCUUUUCAAACCUGCUCUCCACCCAGUGCCAUGAUACAGCUAAAGAUCAUGUUCAUCAAUAACUUUGCAGUGGCUGCCCCUAAAUACAGGACACAGCAGAGCAAAUGUGACAGCAUGUAUCUGAGCUUUGCCUUCUGUAUUGGUGAUGUUUUGCUGAAACAUACUGUAAAAUGUGUUAACACCAUCAAAAGAAACAUUCAUUAUUUCACAGUGUCUGUAGGUCAGGAAUUAAAAGGGGGUGGUUCUAGCUUAGAGUUUCUCAUGAGGUUUUAGUCCAGAUGUCAGCCAGAUCUGUAGUCAAAUGUAGGCUUGACCAGGGCUGGAGAAUAUGCUUCCCAUAUCUCACUGACACAGCUGGCAAGGUGGUGCUGGCUGUUGGCAAAAUGUCUCAAUUUUUUAUCCCAUAGAUCUCUCCAUAGGGUUGCCUACAUGUUCUUACAACACAGUGGCUGGCGUCCUCCAGUGUGGGUGAUACAGAUGAAAUCCAUGUGUUUUAUGACCUAGUCUCAGAAGUCACACACCAUCACUUCUACAUUAUUCUGUUGGUCACACAGGCCGCCCCGAGGCAGUGUGGGAAGGAUCUACACAGGACGUGAAUACCAGAAGUGAGAAUCACUGGAAGUCAUGUUGGAGGCUGGCCACUAUCCCCUUCUCGCUAAACCUGACAUUAUCACUCUCAUAUUUCAUGUUCCACCAGCACCAAAAGAUUUCAGAUUCCCAGAACCUAUAGGGCUGUGUCUUCCAUCUUUGUGUUCCUCAUGCCUGCAAGAUCUUUUCCUCUCUUUUGUCUGGUGAAUUCUUAUCAUUCAAAAUUGUGUGCUUAUACUUAGUGCCUAGUACAGAAUGGGAGCUCAACACACGUUGAGCUGAAAUCCAAAGAAUAGAAUUAGAAGGGAUAGUCCAGGUAGGCUCCAUGCUAUCAUCCCACAUUACCUUGAAAUAUGCUGAAGGCCAGGAAAGUCAGAGUUUGUGGCUCACCUGGGCCAUAUUGAAAAAGGGUAUCCAUAUUUUGUCUAAGAAGCCACAGAAUAAUAUAGUUGGAGACAAACUUCCUCCAGAUUUAUAAAAAUCAAUGCCAAAAAAAUUUUUUACAAGCCCAAGGAUUUGAUAAAAAAAAAAAAGUGUUGGAGGAGGAAUAAAGAGUGAUGUCAGGAGAAGGAAGACAUGUUGGUUAGCUUAUUGACAUAAUAAUGCCACAUAACAACCAACCACAAAUCCUGAAUAGCAUGCAGCAAGAAAUAUGUAUCUCUUGCCUGGGAGUUUUAUGUCCCCUGGAGCGGCUCUGCUUUGCCUGCAGUGGCUGAGAUGACUUUGCGUCACUCUGUGGGUUGGCUGGUGUGGCUCUGUUCCAUCUCUGUCAUCCUCCUAUGAUAGGCUGGCUGGUGAUGAGGGAGAUGCAAGAGAACAUAUCCAACUGCACCGACAUGUUUCCAGCCCCUUAGUAUAUUCCUCAGCCAAAACAAGUUCCAUGGCCAAACUCAGAGUCAAGGAGUGGGGAAAUAUUGAGAACUACAAAGUUAUAAGGCAAUAGUCAGGGGUUUAGGGAGGGGUAAAUUGGGACUAAAAAUUCAAACUAUCAAAGUGGGAAAAGCCACAAAAUUUUGGGAAGGAAAAAGAAUGUUUCUAGCUGUUGAAAGAUUGUCUCCUGAACUAAACCUAAAAAUCUACUUUGAAAAUAUUCCUGCUGGGGCCAGGUGCAGUGGCUCAUGCGUGUAAUCCCAGCACUUUGGGAGGCCGAGGCAGACGGAUCACCUGAGGUCAGGAGUUCAAGACCAGCCUGGACAACAUGGUGAAACCCUGGCUAUACUAAAAGUACAAAAAAUAAUAGCCAGGUGUGGUGGCACUUGCCUGUAAUCCCAGCUACUCAGGAGGCUGAGGCAGGUGAAUCGCUUGAAGCCGGGAGGCGGAGGUUGUGGUGAGCCGAGAUCGCACCACUCCGCUUUAGCCUGGGCAACAGAAUGGGACUCUGUCUCAAAAAUAAACAAAUAAAUGAAAUAAAAAAGAAAAUAUUCCUAUUGGUGUCAAGUUUUCAAUUCUGUAUAAAUGUUAAUAACUGUGGUACUCCUAGUGAAUAUUUGUGUAUUAUUUUAUAAUGUAUAUUUGUUGAACCAAAUUUCUGAACUUCCUUCUAAAGUUAAGGAAAAAACUUGAGCAUCCUAAGAUUUCUGGCAAUGAUGAACACUGUGGUGUUGCAGACUCAUGAAGUGAGUUGAGGCACUGAAAGAAAGCAAGGCUGGUCUGGAGAGUCCACUGACUUGCCUUCCAGAGCUGUCUUCCUCAUGGUUCUGUCAGCUCUUAGCUGGCUCUCAGCUAAUUUCUGGUCAAGUGCUAGCUGAAAAUGGCUAAAAGUGUUUAUCUUUCAGGGUGCAUUUGGAUGGUAAUUAUAGAAGCCUAGAAACCUAAGGGAGUCUUCAGGGAUGAAUCUCCAAUGGUGGAAGAUGAGGUAGCUUGAUAAUACAUUUAAUGAUUUUUUUUCCUCAAAGUUGAGAACAUUUUAUGGCAUUUAAAGCACUUCUACACAUUAGGCUGAAUCACGGUGGCAAUUUCAUGUGAUUCAACCUAUUGUAUUAUUUAUUCUUUACAGCAAUCUUCAGACACAGGCAGGAAACAGAUUCAGGGGAAAUCACUUAGUUGCUUUAGAUCACACAGUAAAUGGUAAGAGUAGGCCUGGAAUCCAAGUCAUCUGCUAUCAAGUUCAAUUUUUUUCCUUACACAGGUGUGGCAGAAGUACUUUAAAACAUUUGUUUUGCUCUGUGUCCACCCGUGCCUCUCUCCUUCCCCCAGCCCCACACUUUCUCCUUCUCUUUGCCUGUUUCUGUUUAUCACCUUAGUGGCCUGGCCCCAUUCCCUUCUGAUACACUAGCUAGUGAACCCAUCAUCUUGAAAGAGGAAUGUGGUAUAUUUCCCCCUGUUGAGCUACUGCUUAAUUUGUCAGCCUCCUUUACUCUGAGCCCACUGUGAUGGCUGGACUCUUAAAAUAUACCUAGGGCUUUGCUCCAACUUCAGCCCCAAAGACAUUAAAUAAUUAACUUCCAGCACUCUCCUUUGUGUGCUUUAUCUCUGCAUCACCCAAAAUAGCUGGUGGCAUUUCCUCUGUAUAAAUAGAAAGCAGAAAGGUCAACUGGCAUUUUUGAAAUAUAUAUGUAUAUAUAUAUUUUUUUUUACAAAGCAGCAAGCUAGCAGGAUCCCUUUAUUUGCUCAUACCUGUGACUGUUUCAUAACAAGAAACUUCCUAGUUUAACUCCUUAGUCAAUUUCCCCCACCAUCUUGCAGUUGGAUCGUUACUAAUACAAUUUGAAGUGGUUCAAAAUUAAGACUGAGUACAGCUGAAAGAGAAAGCAUUUUCUCAGUGGUGAUAAGUAAAAGAUUUAACAUUCAAGUAAUGUUAAAUCUUCUUCCCCACUCCCACCCCAGUGAACCAAAUGAAAGUAAACUUGAGUGAGCUUCUCUUUAGAGGCAUGGAGCUAUGAUUCAAAAUGAUAUUUCUUCCUAGCUCUUUUUUCUUUUGAGCCUGAUGAAGUGCAUAACACAAAUCCCUGGAGAGUAAGCUGUUUUUAGUCUGCACCUGUCUUCUAAGAACCAUGUUCUGAAAUGCAAGAUAGGAAGGUGAAUCUGUUUGUGAAAGAAACUAUUUGAAAAUCUAGCUAUUUCCUCUUAGGACCCAGCACACAAGUUUUGUUCUGUUCUAAUGUUAUAAAAACCAUCGACAAGAAGAUUGGGCAAUUUUUAUUAACUGGGGUAAUAUUAUGGUCCCCGCUCUUCCAGUCAUAUUUGCAAUCUGGUUGGUCACAAAAGGGCAUGUGAGCUCUGGGGAGCAUUUUCUGGGGUGAGGUCUCUUCCCUGUUAAUGUGAUGGCAAUUUGCAUGCCUGCUGUCAGCAGCAGUGUGGUCACAUGCCCCCAUCAUCCUAGGUUUCCCAGGGCAAACCUGAUUUUCAGUGUUCUACCAUGGCAACAACCACGGGUCGUAGAUUUUGACCUGGGAAACACACUCAAGUUCCAAAUUCUGAAAAGUCUCAGAUCCCACCUCCAGAAGCAGUAUUUGAGGUCUGCUUUUCCUGCUGCAGACACAGGGGCUGUGAGAGCACAGACAUGCUCCUGACCCCCAGCCUCCCAGCCAGGAAUAAUUCUCCAGUAUGCAGGGAGAGAGGGUGAGAAUGGGCAUCAUUAGCUUUGGGAAGAGGCAGAAUGAAGUUUUGUGCAGCCCCCAAAACCUCUCUAUAGUGUAAGGGAGUUGUGGGAACUCAGAAGAGUGAUGUUCAUAACCCUUGAGCACUAGAGAAAUUGUGGGUUCACCUGGGUGGUUCCUUUGGUUGCUGGGCAGGGAUAGAAGUGAAGCCACAGGAUAGAGUGUUAGGGCACAGUGGCCAUGCCCCUUUGUCCUUAAAAUAAGCCCAUUAAGUUCUCUCAAGUUAUUCACACUGACUCACCUACCACUCCACCCCAGUCACUACUUGCUUAUAUUCACUGUGAAGCAUUUGAAGUCUUUGGACCCUUCUUGGAAGUCCUCAUACCACCUUCCAAGAUGUGAGAUUAAUUAAGCCCCCAAUUAAGAGCAGCCAAAACACUGUUCCAAAAAGAGGGAGGGGGAGAAGAGAGACAACAGAAAGAAAGGUCUUGAACAAUUGUUCUGUGUGGUACCAGUGGCACUGGCACCACCUGGAAACAUGUUAGAAACCGUGAUCUCUUGAAUCAGAAAUGCUGGUGAUGGAAUCCACCAAUCUAUGCUUCAACAAGCACUCCAGGUGAUUCGAAUGCAUGCUCAAAUGUGGGAAUCACUGGUCUAAAAGAGUGCAUCAUGCAGGAAGCACAGCACCACUGAAAACAAGUUAGUAAGAUAAAGAAACUCUCUUAGUUUCCUCAGUCAUCAGCAGGAGGCUGAAAAGUGAAUAACAGUACUGUGGGCAUCAAAUUCACCCAGACAGUUCUGAAACAAUAGAUAUGUUUUAGCCCCUUGUCUUCCCAGAGAAGGGAGUGGGGUGGGUCUUGGUAUUGACAAAGAUUAUCUCCUCGACCAAACUUUAGACAGGCUCUUUUGAGCCCUCUUUUUUAUGAGGCCUCAUUCUUGGCUCUGUCUUCAGCCUGCCAAACCCAGUUUUAGCAAGAAUUCUGGUAAAGUCAGUUUAUUGAGAAUACCCCACAUUUGAUAGCUGAUCACCCUCAGUAUCUGAUCAAAUUCCUCAUCACCUGCCCUCAAUCUCUGAUGACCCUGGCCUUCCUCCAGUGGGAAUCUUAAGUCAGUUUAGCAGGAAUCUCCCUGCUAUGGUGUGAAUAUUUGCCUGCUCCAAAACUUAUGUUGAAAUUUGAUCCCCAAAGUGGUGAUGUUGGGAGGUGGGGCCUAGUGGAAAAUGUUUGGAUUAUGGGGGAGCACCCUGAAAAAUAGCUUGCUACUGCUCUGGAGUUCUUGCUCUCUAGGCUGGAUUGUUUCUUGAAGGAAUGGAUUAUUUCCCCAAAGGGUGGGUGUUAUAAUGCCAGGACACCCCUCAGGUUUCUCUGUCUUCCUACUUGUCCACUUCCCCUUCAUUGCCGUGUUGUGAUGGAACACAACAGCUUUUGCCAGAAGCCAGGGCCAUGCCGUUGAACUUCUCAGCCUACAAAACCGUGAGCUACAUAAACUUCUUUUCUUUAUAAAUUACUCAGCUUCUGGUAUUCUUUUAUGGCAACACUAAACAGAUGAAUACAACCCCCAACCUUUGAAUACUCCUUUUAGAAAUUUUCCAUCCACCAAGGCCCGUAUCCUGCUAAUUGGCUAUUAAUCUCUAGUUUUCUUUGCUUCAGCAAAGAAACUUCAGAGUUGAGCCCAAUGCCUCUCCCAUAUUGCAAUAUUGUUGAUACCUAUCAAAAUAGUCCUGAUUACAGUCUUUUUGCCAUUUCAAUAAGUGUCAAUAAUUUUUUCAUUAACAGUAUAUUUAAAUGUGUCUAUGUUUAAAAAGCUUCACAAGCAAAUCUAAUAUAGUUCCAUGGUUGAAAAUUCUGAUAGACACUGGUUAAGAGUAUGGAUUCUGGAAUGCGACAGACCUAGUUUCAAAUGCCAACUCUGCUUCUUGCAGCUGAGUGACUAAGCAAAUUACCUAACCUGAGCAUCUCUCUUUCUCUGUUGUCUCUCUCUCUCUCUUUCUCUCUCUUUCACUCUAUCUCUCUCAAGUUAGUGAAAAGAUCCAAUGAAGGCCCUUAAACUACUAAGCACAGUACUAGUACCCAACAGGCACCAAAUUAACCAAAUAUUACUGGCUCUAAGUAAUAAUUAUCAAAGGAUGGAUAUGUUACAUUCAAUAAGAAAGUUUUACAUAAGGAAAAGAUAAAAUAGGUGAUUUAUUUUGUAACUGUGAAAACUAUGUUUAUUUUGAAUACAAAUCUUGAAUUAUCUAUGGAUGAGUUUGAAAUAAAUCAUAGAAGAGAAUCACUUUUUGGAUUUUUAAUCCAGGUCCUUGUGUGUGUAUGAAAUACACACAUAUCUUCCUUAUUAGUCAUGGAAGGGCAAAAGUGGACCAAAAACAGGUCAGCUAAGACAGGCAUGUCUGGCUUCUGGGCUGUAGCUCAGCAUGUUGUAGGCUAGAGUCCAGUGACCUUCACUGGCAGGCUGCCUACAGUCCAUGAGACCCUAGGCAGUCAGGCACUGAGCUCUGUCCUCCAGCUGAAAAUAAUGAAGAGCACACGGCUUCUCCCCGGUCAUCGUCAGGGUGACUCAAUCCUGCUGGAAGCCCUGAGGGCGCACAUGAGAGAAAUGCUUUUCAAGGGAGCCAAACUUGAUCUAUAAGCUUAUCUCAGGGUAUAGUCCAAAUAACACUUAUGACUCCAAGCAUAGGCAGCCAUGCUUACUACUCUCUAAAGAAGCCAGUACUUCUGAUGAGGAAUUGAAAGUCAAGAUGGGAGCUCUGCUUUUGUAUCCAUUCCCCAUAAUAGAGUUCAGCUUAUAUGUUAAAUGAAUUUUCACAUAAAUUUGUCCACUUGAACUUCUGCUUCUUUUUGAUAGUUGCCUAGAGAUGGUUCUGGAGAGUAGGUUCUUUUCCCAUCGUGAUCAGCAACUGCUCUUCAAAGUACAGGAGCUGGUCCACUUCAAAACAGUCGCUGGCUUGAGGCACCACUUUUUCCAAACACUCGCGGAUCUCUGCUUCGCUAGCAUUCUGAUGCCUUGCUCUCUUGAGGUAAUUAUAGACCUCUUCAAAUACUUCUGUCCCCAGCUUCUGCAUGGCUGAUCUGUCAAAAAAGUUACAAAAGAUUACAAAGAGUUACACAUUAAGAUCACCUGCAGGAAAAUGUGCUUUUAAAUCAUUGAUUUUACAAACAUUGUCAUUCUGGGAUUUAGAAAAAAAGGGGGAAGAAAAGGCACAAUAUCUCCACCCUAAACAUUUAACAGUAUUCAACAAAUAAUGCCUCAAUGUCUAUUAUGUGCCAGGUACCCUUCAAGGAACUGGGAAUAUAGCAGUAAACAAGUUAGGCAAAGUCCUGCCCUUGUGUGUGUAUAUAUAUAUAAUACACAGAUAUACACACAGAUGUGUUUAUAUAAACGUAUGUAUAUAUACACAUAUACACAUAAGAUAUCAGAUGGUUCUAAGUGCAAUGAAGAAAAAGCAGGGUGAGGCGGACAGGAAAAUCCUUCUGAGGAAGUGUCAUUUGAGCAAAAGCUCUCAGGAAGUAAGACAAAUACUAGGGGCAAAAGAAUUUUGGCCCUAAGGCUAAAACAUAUUGGAAAAAUAACAAGAAAGCUAUUGUGGCUGGAGUUAGUAGAACAAAGGGAAACAGGAUGGUGGGAUAUAAAAUGCAGAAAUAGUUAAUAAUAACAAAAUAAUAAUGAGGAGGAGGAGGAGGAAAAUGAGGGGGAGAAUAGUUUUGUUUGCCACUUGCCAGGUCCUUUUCUACUCACUUUGCCCUUUCAAUCACACUUAACCUUUACAACAGCUGUACGAAGGAGGCAAUUUUUUAAAUCCCUAUUUUACAGAUGAAGAAACUGAGGCUUAAAAGGGGUAAAGUUAUUUGGCCAAGUUUCCACCAAGGCCGACAUUCAUUUUUUCCACACUUCCAGUGAUUGUCCAUAUGUCAACAUAAUCUUUAUGUUAUAAUCAUAUUGCCAUAUCUAGUAUGUUUAUUUCACCGUUGACUAUUUUCCUCUAUCUCCAGAAAGGGUCACAAACUAAAGACCUAUGGGCAACAUUUGGUCCAUAACAUGUUUUGUUUUUCAAUACCAUGUUUUAUCUUCCUUUAUUAUUUUUAAAUGUUUUAAUGUGAAUGUCUUUAUGUGGGGCCUGCAAGCACUCUGUACUCUGCAUUUUCUGACCGUCUUUGACCUACCUCCCCUAUCUUUUAUCAUCUUAUACCAGGCUCCUUCUCAUAGUUCUUCUACCCACUUAACUCAAGGGCAUUCAAGUUGGUGGAUUUUGUUUUGCGGUUCUUCACGGUUGUCGUUUUUAAUGGCUCCAUAUUGUUCCACUGAAUUUAUGUGCCAAUAUUUACUCCAUUUUCCCUUCACCAAACAAUGAGCUUUUUUUUGCUCCUUUGCACUAUAACAUAGUGUGAAUACCUCAUCUUUAGAUAUUAGGCUUUUACAUUUUAGGGGAAUAUUUUAUGACAUCAAAUUUUUAGGAGUUGGGCUAUUAUGUGUGUGUUCACUCUAAAAAUUUAUAUGUGUACUUAUGGUUUCUGCACUUUUCUCUGAAGAACAGAGAAAAGAGUAAAUAUAUGUUGUGCUUGAUUAAAUGAUAAAAAUGUUAUGGGAAUGAGAUUAUUAGGUCAAAGUGUAUAAAUAUUUGUGUGACUUUAACUUGAAGAAAUAUUACUUUUUCUUCAUUUCAAUGGAUUUGGUAAAAAGAAAAACCAGGAUGUGUAUUUUUUUUUUUUGGAGAUGAAGUCUCUGCACUGGUGUGAUCUCAGCUCACUGCAUCCUCUGCCUCCCAGGUUCAAGCGAUUCUCCUGCCUCAGCCUCCCGAGUAGCUGGGAUUACAGGUGCCUGCCACCACGCCUGGCUAAUUUUUGUAAUAUUGGUAGAGAUGGGAUUUCACCAUGUUGGCCAGGCUGGUCUCGAAUUCCUGACCUCAGGUGAUCCCAAAGUGCUGGCAUUACAGGCCCACCUUGGCCUCCCAAAGUGCUGGGAUUACAGGUGUGAGCCACCGUGUCCGGCCUUUUUUCACAAUUUUUGAAGCAUUAAUGCUUAACAGUAAUGAUGGUAAUGUUGAUAAUAACAUUGGAGACAUUAGUCACAGACUCAUUCAUUUUAUAAGCUUUUAUUGUUCAGUGUUAUUCAAGCUUGUAAUCUCUAAAUCAUAGGAUAUGUGUUACGUAUUGUGGCCGAUAAAGAGAUGAAUAGGUAAUUCUUCUAGCUCUGGUUUAAAGGCUGGUCAUGACAAUGCAAGACAUAAAUUUUUAAUUUUAACUAACAUUUCUAUAGCCCUUUAGAGCUUGCAAAGUGCUUUUGCAUUCAUUAUUUCAAAUGCUCCUUAUGAACUAGGCAAUUCAUUGAACAUUUGUCUUCAUUUUACAGAUGAGAAUAAGCAGGUUUUUCGUAGCCUUUCACAAGCUCACACAGUUAGUGUGGUAGAGUUUGGACUCAAAUGCUGAUCUUAAAACACCAGAUGCUGGAGAAACCAGCAGCCCUAGGCUCCACAAUAAGUUUCCCACCUUCUGUCAUGAGAUUGUCAGGACUGAUUCCAGCAUGCCUAACAUCCCUAGUCACCUCAGUCACCCCCACAAAAUCCAGGUGUUUCUUUUGCUGACAUCUACCAAACCCUGGUCAUUCUCUUCAUACACUGAUUACUUCAGUGACUAGCCCACUCUUUCUUCCACCUUGUACUCUUGUCAUCAUUCUUAACUUCUGUAUUCUUGCUGUCUCUGGUUUUGAACUGCCUCGCAUUCAGCCAUCAUUUCUUUUACCCUACCUGAGUUGCCCAUUCCCAUGAUCAUAUCAAUUGACCUCAUCAGUGCCAAUGACUACAUGACCUCUGAAAUUGAUUUCAAGCCUCCUACUCUCUAAUCACCCCCUCAAUGCCCUCCCACCAUACUUACCAGCUAAUCUUCCACUUCAUGGUGCCCUUCACUUCGACUCUACCCCCAUGAUAAUAAUUACUCACUUCUUUUGUAACCUCAUAUACUCACUCCUCACCUACCUCCUCACAGUUAAUUUCAUGGCCCAUCAUCAUAACCAUUAUCUCGCAAAUACCUUUGACUUUUUCCACCCCUUUCCCUUUGUUUGGCAAAGACCUAAUGGUUAAACUCAGUCGUAUACCUACUCCAUGGCUGUACCCAAACAAGAGAAUAUUUAUGGAGAAAAGCAUCCAAAUAUACCAAGUCUCUCAUUUAAGAUGAUAAUCUUGAUUCAGAAUGGCACUCAGCACUGCCCAGCAAUCUUACCGUGUUUCCCCAGUAUGUUUAUUUUCCUCCCAAAAUGACUACUUCAAAUGUUUUCCUUUAUUCUUUUAAAAAAUAUUUUAUUUUUGAUUUUUAAAUUUUAUUGUGUAUAUUUGAGGUUUACAACAUGAUGUUUUGGGAUACAUAUAGAUAAUAAAAUGGUUACUAUAGUGAAGCAGAUUAAUAUAUCUAUGACCUCACAUAGUUACUUUUUUAUGACAAGAACAGCUAAAAUCUACUUAUUUAACAAAAAUUCCCAAUACAAUAUAAUUUUAUUAAUUUUAGUCCUCAUAUUGACAUUAGAUCUCUAGACUUGUCCAUCCUACGUAUCUACUGUUUUGUAUCCUUUGACCUACAUUCCCUCAUUUCCUCUCCCCUACCAACCCUGCCUGAGGUAACCGUUGUUUCAUUCUCUAUCUCUGUGUACUUGAGCUCUUUUUUUUUUUAAAUAUUCCAUAUAUAAUUGAGGUCAUGCAAUAUUUUUAUUCCUAUGUCUGGCUAUUUUUCACUUAGCGUAAUGUCCUCCAGGUCUAUCCAUGUUAUGGCAAAUGACAGGAUAUCCUUUUAUAAGGCUGAAUAAUAUUCCAUUGUAUAUAUAUGCCACACUUUCUUUAUCCACUUCUCCAUUGAUAGACAUUUAGAUUGUUUCCAUAUCUUGGCUAUUGUGAACAAUGUUGGAAUGAACAUGGGAGAUAUCUUUAUGGGGUGGUAUUUUCUUCUCCUUUGGGUAUAUACCCAGAAGAGGGAUUGCUGGGUCAUUGGUAGUUAUACUUUUAAUUUCUUUAGGAACCUCUAUAUUGUUUUCCAUAGUGGCUGUACCAGUCUACUGUCCCCCAGCAGUAUAUAUUAGGGUUCUCUUUUCUCCACACCAACAUUUGUUAUUUCUUCUUUUUGAUAACAGACAUUCUUAGGGGUGUGAGGUGAUAUUUCAUAGGUUUUAAUUUGCAUUUUCCUAAUGAUUAGUGACCCUGAGCACCUUUUCAUAUCCGUUGGCCAUUUUUAUGUCAUCUUUGGAGAGAUAUCUGUUCAGAUCCUCUGGCCAUUUUAAAAAUUGAGUUAUUUGGUUUUUUGCAGUUAAGUUGUAAGAGUUUUUAUAAAUUUUGGAUAUUAACCACUUAUUAGAUAUGUGGUUUGCAAAUAUUUUUUCCCAGUCUGUAGGUUGUCUUUUCCUUUGUUAAUUGUUUCCUUUGCUGUGUAGAAUCUUUUUAGUUUUACAUACUCCCAUUAAUUUAUUUUUGCAAAAGAUCAGAAUAAAAAUAAAUAGGGAAUAAAAAACAUAGAAAAAAAUUAAUCAAACCAAGAGUUGGUCAUUUGAAAAACAAAACACAAUUGACAAAGCCCUAGCUAGACUAUGAAAAAAAGAAAAGAUGCAAAUAAUAAAUCAAAUCAGAAAUAAAAGUGGAGACAUCACAACAGAUGCAUCAGAAAUAAAAAAGGAUUAUAAGGGACUGAUAUAGUUUGGAUAUCUGUCCCUGUGCAAAUCUCAUGUUGAAUUGUAAUCUCCACUGUUGGCGGUGGGGCCUGGUGGUAGGUGUUUGGGUCUUGGGAGCUGUUCCCUCAUGGCUUGGUGCUGUCCUUGUGAUAGGGAAUGAAUUCUCACAAGAUCUGGUUAUUCUAAAGUGUGGCACCUCUCCCCUCCCCACUCUCUCUCUUGCUUUUGCUAUGUUACAUGCCUGCUCCCACUUCCCCUUCUGCCAUAAGUAAAAGCUCGCUAAGGCCUUCCCAGAAGCCAAGCAGAUGUUGGUGCUAUGCUUGUACAGGCUGGAAAACCAUAAGCCAAUUAAACUUCUUUCUUUAUAAAUUACCCAGUCUCAGAUAUUUCUUUAUAGCAAUGCAACAAAUAGCCUAAUACAGAAAAUUGAUACCAAGGAGAGGGGCAUUGCUAUAAAGAUUCCUGAAAGUGUGGAAGCACCUUUGGAACCUGGGUAAUGGGCAGAAAUUGGAAGAAUUCACAUGGCUCAGAAGAAGAGAGGAAGAUGAGGAAAAGUUUAGAACUUCUUAGAGACUGGUUAAAUGGUUGUGACCAAAAUGCUGAUAGUGAUAUGAACAGUGAAGUCCAGGCUGACAAGGUGUCAGAUGGAAAUGAGGAACUUAUUGGGAACUGGAGCAAAGGUCACAGGUGUUAUGCCUUACCAAAGAGCUUAGCUGCAUUCUGUCUAUGCCCUAGGGAUCUGUGGAAGUUUGAACUUCAAAGUGAUGAUUGAGGGUAUCUGGUGGAAGAAAUUUCUAAGCAGCAAAGCCUUCAAGAUGUGUCCUGGCUGCUUCUAACAACCUAUGUCCAGAUAUUGGAGCAAAGAAAUGACAAAAUUUGGAAUUUAUAUUUAAAAGGGAAGGAUAGCAUAAAAGUUUGGAAAAUUUGCAGCCUAGCCAUGUGACAAAGAAAGAAAAAGCUUUUUUGGGGGAGAGAAAUUCAAGCAGGCUAUGGAGCAACCACCUGCUAGAGAUAUUUGCAUACCUAAAAGUGGGUUAAGUGUAAAUAUCCAGACAAUGAGGAAGAGGCCUCAAAGGCAUUUCAGUGAUAUUCAUGGCAGCCCCUCCCAUGACAGGCCCAGAGGCCUAGGAGGGAAGAAUGGGUUCAGGAGCCAGGCUCAGGGACCCACUGCCCUGCACAGCCUCGGGACACUGCUCCUCACAUCCCAGCUGCUCUGGUUUCAGCCUUGGUUCAAAGAGGUCCAGCUUAGGCCAGAGCUCCAGAGGGUGCAAGCCAUAAGCUCUGGCAGCUUCUACAUGGUGUUAAGCCUGCAGGUGCACAGAAUGCAAGAGUGAAAGUGGCUUGGAAGCAUCUUCCUAGGUUUCAGAGAAUGUACGCAAAAGCCUGGUGUUCAGACAGAAGCCUGCUGCUGGGGUGAAGCCCUCACAGAGAUACUCUACUAGGGCAGUGUGGAAGGAGAAUGUAAGGUUGGACCCUCACCCUAGUUCUCAGCCAAUGACUUCACCUGUUUUCUCAAAUGGAAAACCAAAACAAUCACAUAAACAUUCCAUUUUCCCAGUAUUCAAACUGCCCACUUAUUUGGAUCAGUAACUAUAUACUUGGCCUCCUCUUCUGUGCCUAAUUAAGGGAUCCUCCCUGCUCCUAUCAAAGACAAAACUCUACCUGAGUGCUCUGGAUCCUGGCCUCUGUCACCAUCACAGUGACAUUCCCUCCUGCAGUCAUCUUCUCUCUUUACCUCACAAUCACUUUCUACCUCUACUAGAUCAUUCCUGUUAGGGUACACACAUGACCUGCUAUAUCUUUUCCUAAACAAUAAAACCUCCUUUAACCUCCACAUCCCCCAAGGCUCAUCCCCUUCUCAACCCAUCACUUUGAUCUCUAUUCCCAACAAAACUUCUUGAAAGAGUUAUGUUUGUUGCUUUUUUACUGCACACUCUUUCUGAAUCCACUCCUCUUGAGUCUUGGCCCUCUCUUUUUCCCUGAAACUACUCUCACUAUGGUAUCAAUGACUUUCAUAUGGCCAAUUCCCCUGGUCACUUCUUUGUAUACAUAUAUUUUUUCUUUUUUAAAAAUUGAGGUAAAAGUCAUUUAUCAUAAAAUUCCUAUUGUGUAUAAAUUGGCCAGCCUGAAGUAUUUUGUUAUAGUAUCGGAAUGGAGUAAAAUACUUAAAUUUUCUAUGUCUUCGGUUUCUUAUAUUUAAGUGGGGAUUUCAUACACAGACAUACAUGCAUACAUAUACACACACACACACCUCUUAUCAUGCUAGGUAUUAUUUACUAUCAUGUACGUUAUUGUUGCUUUCUCAGUGGUGAAUUGCAUAGCAAUCCUAUUUCUGUUAAACUGGAAGCCUCAAACAAUUUUGUAGCUCUAUCUUGGUUAAGAUACUAUUUUAGAUUUUUUAACUUCUCUGGAUGAAUUUGAAAAAAAAAAAAAAGACACCAGGAGACUAGUGACACAGUGGGAGUGAAAAACAUGUAAUUUCUUAGAAAUAAUCAUGAAAACCUGGUUUACCAGAAAGCCUUAAGAGAACACAGGCAUAGUUUAAGGAAACCCUGAAAAUGAUUUUGUGGAAUGUAAGAAAUCCCUGCACAUCAAAUAUGUGUGAGUCACUGCAGGAAUGGAAUGGUACAAUGUAUUUUACCUUUAAUAUCGUCAUUUCAACAAUCAUUUGGUGCUAACAAGCAUCCGGAAUCUUCAUUAAGGAUACAUUUUACAGAAAGAGGUUUAAAAUUCUCCAUGUGUAGUGUUUCAAAUGGCUGUCUCUGAAUCAGGUGGGCAAAGACAGAACAGCUCUCUCUCCAGAAGCAGGCAGGUGAACUGGUAGAGGCUUCCAUAGCCUGCAGCGUGCCCAGAUAGAGCACGUGCCUUGAAGGCCUCUUUCUGUCAAUGGCACUUCCCUCUUUCUCAGUUCACUCUGGGCAGGAUCCUGAGUGCAAAUGUUGGUUUAAUAUACUGUUAAAAACCAUUUCUAAAAGGAUUAUUUUAAUUGUGACUUAAAUACCCACCAUCAUUCAUAAUUAUAAUAAAUGUAAAUGGACUAGACUCACUGACUAAAAAACAAAAUCCAGCUAGGUGUUGUUACAAGAAAUAUACCCAUAACAUGAUGGCAUUGAAAGAUUGAAAGUAAAAUAAUUUUUGACAAAGCUACCAGGCAAAUAAUAACCAAAAGAAAUCUAGGGUAGCCAUAUUAAUAUGAUAAAAAUACAUUUUAAGUUAAAAAAGCAUUAUUAGAGAUAAAGAAAGUCACUACAUAAUAAUUCAAUUCACAAAGAAGAAAAAAAGAAUUCUAAAUGAGCAUGCAUCUAAUAAAACAGAAUCAAAAUACAUAGAGGACUACAAAGAGAAACUGUCAGAUAUAUUCUCACAAUGCUGGAUUUUAAUAUACCUUGCUCAGUUAUUGAUAAGUGAAGCAUUCAAAAUAUUAGUAAUGAUAGAAAAUAUCUGAAUAACAUACUUAAUAAGCUGAACUUAAUAGAUACACAUAGAGCAAGACAUUCUUCCCAGGCUCUCAUGUAACAUUUGCGAAAACUGACCAUGUGCUAGACAAUUUAACCCUCAAUAAAUGCUGAAUAAUUGGUUUCAUAUAAAAUCUAGUGUCUGACCACAAUAAAAUUGUUAGAAAUCUGUAAUAAAAAUAAAGAUUAAACAUUUACACAUGUGAGUAAAUUUUAAAAUAAUACAUUCUAAAUAAAUUACGGGUCAAAAACAAAAUCAGUCAUUCCAUAAACAAACUCAUUUUAGGCUGACAGAAAAGCUAUAGGUGUUCUAGUCUUGGAAUAUUGCCGUGUAAAUUUAUUCUGAUAUUUGGAAAACACACUAUAUUCUGCAAUGAUGCAUUUGAAUUUUUAGAUUCAUAAAUAGAAAUUCAAUUUAAGAGGACUCUCUUGCUGUUAUCUAAGAUGUGAGAAGGGAGGGCAGUAUUCUCUGUGCUGUUCAAAUUAAAAGAGUUCCUAUGUUUCCUUUUUCAAAGAGAGGGACAUGGGGUGGCAGGAACUAUUCCUUUAGUUAGCUGGGUAUCUCAAAUAAAAAGAAUUUAUAUUUUCAUUGUUUUCUAUUUCUUUCUAUGGUGCAUUUCCUUUCUAAAUUUUAUCAUUUUCUUCAAGAAACAAAAGCCUUUUAAGUUUUUUAGGGAUUGUCAAACAUCAUUUUAGUCCAAAUACUUCAUUUACAGGUUGUUUUGCCCAAGAUUGAAUUGGCAGUUGGGGACAAAUAGGGGACUAGAGUCCAGGUUUCAGGACUCUCAGGACAGUGCUCGUUGGGCUGGAUAAUGGUCCCUUGACACAGGAGUCCUGAAGGAAGGUUCCCUAAUGUUCCAAAAUUUGAACUGCUUGGGGUCACAUCCCGAAUACGUGUUUGGCUGACUCCCUUGCUGAUGAAAAACUAUUAAACACCAAGAAAGCUCUUCUUCUCUCCCCUGCCCAUUUCCUCCAAACUCAAUCUCUCAUCCUCCAAAUUCCUUUAUUACCUCUUCCUGUGCUUACCUUUCAUUUAUAAAAAAAUACAUUUUAUCACAUCUACUUAUUUGCCCAUCAAUUAUAGACUAUGCUGUGUACCCUCUAAUUAUUUAUCUCUAUCUAAUAAGGGCUCUAAAGAAUACAGCCAUAGCUGCUUAGUUUUAUAAGGAUAAUAUCUAAAAUGUCCUCAUAUUUUAAAUAUUAUUUUAAUUUUGAAUCCCAUACUUACAGAAAAGUUACAGGAAUAGUAUAAAGAACUAUUUUGUCCCUGAGUCUUUUGAGAAUAAGUUGCUACCCCAAUGUCCCCCACUCAUACUUUGUGUGUAUUUUGUACGAAUAAAAACACUUCUACAUAACCACAAAACUGCCACCAGAAUCAGGAAAUUCACAUUAAUAGAUCUGAUUCUGUUAUCUUGUAUAUGGAAACAUUCAGAUUUCCCCCAAUUGUCCAAUAACACUGCCUGAUAACAAAGCAUUCAAAAUAAUCAUGAGUUCCAUUUACUUGUCAUGUCUCUUUAGUUUCCUUCAAUGAUCUGGAUGCUAGAAUGUCCCUCAAUUUGCAUUGCUCACGCCUUUGGGAUUUACCAGCUCUUACCCUCUGGUCAUCCAUCCUUUUAUGUAUUAGCCUAAAGGAUGACUUCAGGAGUAGUGUCUUUCAUUAUCUUGGGGUAUUAUUAGAGAGCUCCACCUACACCAGUUCAAGAAGGUUCUUACUGCUCUUGGGUAAAAACAAAGCUUUGAUAGUAACAGGAGAGGGAUCUUGCCACUUCCAGGUGCCUACUAAUGAUUCUUCCAUGCAAUCUGUUCCUGUUCCUGUUUACUGUAAGAAACAAGGACUCCUCUUAGGGAAGGGAAGCAGCUUGUGAAGUGAGUUUCCAGAAGCUCAGAAUACAAUGCUUUGUCCCAAAUAUUUCCCUGUACCCCCACCAUCACACUUUAUAAAUCCCACCAGUGAAGGGUACAUUCACACAGCUGAAGAAAUCACUUCUCAAAGCAGCUGUUAGCUUCUUAGGAUAAGGUUCAGGGGCUGCAAAGAUGAGCACAGUGAAAAGACCGAAGCCCCGUUAGACACUCUAAGUGCUGGCUGGGAUUCUGCCACCAACUUUCUGGGUGGCACUGGGUGAGUGACUUUCACUUUUCAGAGCCUCAGUUACUUCAUCUGCAAUGUAGACUAACUGAUUUCUAAGGAUUCCUUCAGCUCUAAAUGUUCAAUUAUAAGUGAGAGCUCAGGAAGACAUUCUUUGCUUAUAGGUGAUCGAUAAUUAUUUGUUGAAAAAAUGAAGUAAAAAAUGACUUAAAAGCCAGAAGAAAAUAGACACUUUGUGAGUCAUGAAUUUCACUCCUUUUAAAAAUAAUAUCUGAGUAAGCAAAUUCUUUUUAAGGGCUUUCAAUCAUGAGUAAUUCUUUCUCAGGGAAAGGAGGGGAAAAUAGAAGAAAACUUGUUUUUCAAAGAGUCUGUUAAGUCCCAGGAAUGUUUUGUUUUUAUUUCAUCUUUGGGAUUCCCUCUUUUAUUUUUUAUAUAUUUUUUAAAUUGAUAAAAAAAUAUAUAUAACAAAAUUUCUUCUUUUGAAUGUACAGCUCUAUGAGUUUGGAUAAACUCAUUCAGCCAUCUAACUCACACCUCAACUGAGAUACAGAGCAAUUUCAUCACACUCCAGAAUUCCCUCAUAUCCUUUUGUAACCAAGUCCUCCCUCCACCCCUUGGUGAUAACUGACCUGUUUUUGUUCCUUCAGUUUUGCCUUUUCCAGAAUGUCAUAUGAAUGGAAUCAUUCAGAAUGCAGCUUUUAAAGAACUGGUGCCUUUCAAUUAACAUAGCAUCUUUGAGAUUCAUCUAAACUGCUGUGUGUAUUAUAAUUUGUUCCUUUUAUUGCUGAUCAGUGUUUCACUGUACGGAUGUGCUGCAGUUGGUUUAUCCAUUCAUAGCUGACCAAUAUUUGGGUUGUUCCUAGUUUUUGAAGAUUGUGAAUAAAGUUGCUAUAUGUAUUCAUAUGUAGGUUUUUGUGUGGACAUAUAUUUUCACUUGACUUGGAUAAAUACCUAGGAGUGGAAUUUCUGGGUUGUAUGGUAAGUGUAUAUUUAACUUUAUAAGAAACUGCUUAUUGCUUCUCAGCCGUUUGGUGAAGAUCAAGUGUGAAGAAACCACUCAACUGUUUUCCAAAGCAGAUGUUCCAUUUUGCAUUCCCACCAGCAGUGUAUGACAGUCUUAGUUGCUCCAUAUCCUUGCCAGACUUAGUAUUAAAAAAAAAAAAAAAAAAAAAAAAACCAGCUGGGCGCCGUGGCUCAUGCCUGUAAUCCCAACACUUUGGGAGGCCGAGGCCAGUGGAUCACGAGGGCAGGAGAUCAAGACCAUCCUGGCCAAUAUGGUGAAACCCCGUCUCUACUAAAAAUACAAAAAUAAGCCGGGCAUGGCGGCGUGUGCCUGUAGUCCCAGCUACUCGGGAGGCUGAGGCAGGAGAAUUGCUUGAACCCAGGAGGUGGAGGCUGCAGUGAGCCAAGAUCGUGCCACUGCAGUGACCUGAGAUCACGCCACUGCCCUCCAGCCUGGGUGACAGAGCAAGACUCCGUUUCAAAAAAAAAGAAAAAAAAUUUAUGCCAAGCACUUGAUAUCUAUUUUUUAAUGUGUUAUUUACACAAUCAUAUGAGGUAUGCGAUAUAACUCCUGUUUCACAGUUGAAGAAACUGAGGCACAGAUGUUAAGUAUCUUAACCACUAAAUGGCACUACAUGGAGGGGGGGUUCAGAUUGAUUCUCAUUCAGGCUUUGCUCCUAGCUAGCUGUGCAGUCUAGUCACUCAGUUCUGUAGGCCAGUCACUGUCUUCCUUUAUAAAUGAAGACAUUAACUUCUGGAACAAUUUCUAAGCUGAUUUUUAUUUUUA
This 23964-nucleotide long non-coding RNA is filed under the name Homo sapiens (human). RNAcentral's name for it is "non-protein coding lnc-MRPL3-2:11". The stretch from base 23488 to 23659 matches the Rfam family "Metazoan signal recognition particle RNA". Lineage: Eukaryota; Metazoa; Chordata; Mammalia; Primates; Hominidae. The record is from RNAcentral.